RNAcentral lists this ribosomal RNA (484 nucleotides) under uncultured bacterium. RNAcentral's name for it is "partial 16S ribosomal RNA". It matches the Rfam family "Bacterial small subunit ribosomal RNA", at positions 30 to 507 of the family's 1533-position model. The record is from RNAcentral.
AUUGAACGCUGGCGGCAGGCCUAACACAUGCAAGUCGAGCGGAUGAAGGGAGCUUGCUCCUGGAUUCAGCGGCGGACGCGUGAGUAAUGCCUAGGAAUCUGCCUGGUAGUGGGGGAUAACGUCCGGAAACGGGCGCUAAUACCGCAUACGUCCUGAGGGAGAAAGUGGGGGAUCUUCGGACCUCACGCUAUCAGAUGAGCCUAGGUCGGAUUAGCUAGUUGGUGGGGUAAAGGCCUACCAAGGCGACGAUCCGUAACUGGUCUGAGAGGAUGAUCAGUCACACUGGAACUGAGACACGGUCCAGACUCCUACGGGAGGCAGCAGUGGGGAAUAUUGGACAAUGGGCGAAAGCCUGAUCCAGCCAUGCUGCGUGUGUGAAGAAGGUCUUCGGAUUGUAAAGCACUUUAAGUUGGGAGGAAGGGCAGUAAGUUAAUACCUUGCUGUUUUGACGUUACCAACAGAAUAAGCACCGGCUAACUUCGUG